RNAcentral lists this ribosomal RNA (253 nucleotides) under uncultured bacterium. RNAcentral describes it as "partial 16S ribosomal RNA". It matches the Rfam family "Archaeal small subunit ribosomal RNA", at positions 474 to 727 of the family's 1478-position model. The record is from RNAcentral.
UACCAGCACCCCGAGUGGUCGGGACGAUUAUUGGGCCUAAAGCAUCCGUAGCCGGUCCUGCAAGUCUUCCGUUAAAUCCAGCUGCUCAACAGAUGGGCUGCGGGAGAUACUACAGGGCUAGGAGGCGGGAGAGGCAAGCGGUACUCAGUGGGUAGGGGUAAAAUCCUUUGAUCCAUUGAAGACCACCAGUGGCGAAGGCGGCUUGCCAGAACGCGCUCGACGGUGAGGGAUGAAAGCUGGGGGAGCAAACCGG